CUGCUGACCCCGCGUGACUUUUGUAUAACAUCUCAGUGUAUAAAAACAGACUCUGGAAAAUAAAGAAUUGGGAUCAGUUCCUCGAAAGACUGGUCUCCCCAUGUCUCUCUCUCUCUCACUCUGGCUGAGUCUCCAUCUGGAGCGCGGAACCCACCAUGCUUACUAAUUAUGCCUGGGCUUCUAAGAUCCGACCGGGGAGGCCUCAGUGUCUCCUCUCCUUCGGGAGAAUGGAAGGACGCCUGCAGCCUACGCAAAAAGUUUGGCAAAUACCAGGUGAAAUUAAAAUCCAGUCACCAACCACUCAGACAUUCAUCUUUCUCAUUUUAAAAAUGGAGUAACACUUUAUAUCAUGAGUGGAACUCCUCUUAUUCUGGAGGUCCCAGUGGUCUACAGAACACACUUUUGGAAAUGCUACUGAAUAGGCUUGGUGGACGUGAACUGGCUUCUCUGCUAGAAAAGAAGUGUCUCAGGGACUGUAUCCCUAAUAAUCUCCCACUGUCCUUGUGAGUCUGAGACCUGGCACUCUGUGCUACAGUGCAGCAAAGCUUCCACCUGGACACACCUCUCCUGGAGAUACAAAAUACAGAGAAAUUACACAGGACUGAAAAUAACUCUGUGCGUAUGCACUUGGGGCAAAUUCUGGACCAAAAGAUACAAAAAGACAAAAAAGAAAAAAGUCCCUGACAUCCAUCCCUGAAGAGCCACGAGCCAUGGGUGUCAGGAGCAAAAGCAUGUACUCAAUACCACAGAGUGGGGGCGGGCAGACACCUAAGCCAUCCCUCCAGCCUGACCUCUGGGCAUACCCCCGCUCUUUCCUCGAAUAAGGAAUGAGCUCACAGCCUCUCCAGAAGCAAGCAAGGGGGUUCCUUGUUUUCAUUUUUUCCUGCAGCUGGCAGAAGAACCCUAAUAGAGCCUUGCCUGAAUUUCUUGUCUGGUCUCUAGUCAAUUUCUAUUGACUGGGGAGGGCCAAGAACCCUGGUUAGUAUCACUUUGAUAUUGAUCUGGAGUUUAAGUAGGGUAUGACUCUUUAUGGGAGCUAAAUGUGCCUCGUGUACCUAAGUAAUUAUAUUAUCAUCAAAGCAUUUUGACAAUGUCACAGCUAAAAAAUCUUUCAUAGACACCAAAAUCUGAAUAACCUAAAUUUCCCAGUGUACAAAAUGCCUGACUAUAUUGAGUUUUCUGGCUAAUUCAGGUUACUUUAGGUGUUAGAAAAAAGCAGAUGGUGGGGAGCCUUCCCUCAUAACUCAGCUGGUAAAGAAUCCACCUGCAGGACAGGAAAACCAUCCACUGAAGAAGGGAUAGGCUAGCCACUCCAGUAUUAUUGGGCUUCCCUGGUGGCUCAGCUGGUAAAGAAUCCACCUGCAAUGCAGGGGACCUGGGUUCGAUCCUUGGGUUGGGAAGAUCCCCUGGAGAAGGGACAGGCUACCCACUCCAGUACUCUGGCCUGGAGAAUUCCAUGAACUGUAAAGUCCAUGGGGGUCACAAAGAGUCAGACACAACUAAGCAACUUUCACUUUACUUUAUUCAGUGAUAAUUAUGCAGUCUUACAAAAGUAGAGAGUUCUGGAGGUUUAUUUUGACUCUUUCCUGAUGCCUGACUGAGCCUAGAAAGUUUUUUUAAAAACCAACAAAAGCUUGUUUUCUGGACAUUUGUGUUGCAUUAUUUCAUUCUUUUUAUGGCUAAUAUUCCAUUGCGUAUAUGCAUCACAUCUUCUUUAUCCAUCCCUCUGCCAAAGGACAUUUAGGUUGCUUCCCUGUCUUGGAGAAGGCAAUGGCACCCCACUCCAGUACUUUAAUGUUAACAGUGCUACAAUGAACACUGAGGUGCAUGUAUCCUUUUGGAUCACGUUUUUUUUCUCCAGAAUAUGUCCAGAAGUGGGAUUGUGGGAUCAUACUGUAGUUCUAUUGUCAGUUUUUAAAGGAAACUACACUGUUCUCCAUAAUGGUUGUACCAAUUUACAUUGGUAAAUGUAAAACCAAUAAAAGUGGUUUUGUUGGUUUUAAUAAACCUCCAACCAACAGUGUAGGAGGUUUCCCUUCUCUUCACAUGCUUUCCAGCAUUUAUUGUUUGUGGAUUUUUUUUUAUGAUAGUCAUUUUUACUGGUGUGAGAUGAUAUCUCGUAUUUUUGAUUUGCAUUUCUCUAAUAAUUAGUGAUGUUGAACAUUUGCUCAUGUGUUUCUUGGACAUCUGUGUGUCUUCUCUGGAAAAUGUCUAUUUAGGUCUUCUGUUUUUUUUUGAUUGAAUUGUUUGCUUUGAUGAUAUUGAGCUGCAGGGGCUGUUUGUAAAUUUUGGAGACUGAUCCCUUGAGGGUCACAUCAUUUUCAAAUAUUUUCUCUUAAUCGGAGAGUUGUCUUUUCAUUUUGUUUAUAGUUUCCUUUGCUAUGCAAAAGGUUUUUAAUUUAAUUAAGUUCCAUUUGUUUAUUUUUGUUUUUAUUUCCAUUACUCUAGGAGACAGAUUGAAAAAGAAAAUAUUCCUGCAAUUUUUGUCGGAGAGUGUGUGGCCCAUAUUUUCCUCUGAGAGUUGUAUAGUGUCAGGUCUAACAUUUAGGUCUAAUCCAUUUUGAGCUUAUUUUUGUGCAUGGAAUUAAAAAUAUUCAAAUUUCAUUUUUUUAAAUGUAGCUGUCCUGUUCUCCCAGCACCAUGUAUUGAAGACAUGGUCUCCUCACGGGUGUAUAGACAGUCCUUGGACAGAAGGCUGCCCUCACCCUCUCCCCCUCCACCCCAAGCCCCGGGCCACACACAAUUGGACCAGGGUAGACAGCUAGUUGGGGCAAUCUGAGCAAGGGUCAGAAAAGAAUUUCCAGAUAUGGAGCAUUUCAGAAGGGAGUGAGUUUAUUAAGAACAAAGAGCAGAAAUAAUGUGGGCACUGCCAGUGCAGUGGGCUGACCUCCUGACAAUGGAGCAGCGACAGUUUUCUUGGGUUAGUAGCCAAUUUUUAUAGCCUCAAGACAAAGAAAAUUUCUGAUAGAAGGUUGGCGUUAGGUGAUUGGUUGGGCCAUUAUAGGGUGUUUACUGGAGUGGGCAUCUUUGCCUAACUGGGAGUCAGGAGGCUUGUUAGUGAUGAUCACAGGGGGGUUUUGGCAACGGUUGCAAAGGGGCUCAGUCAGCUUCAGAGGUGGCCUUGGUUCGGGCUCCACAGCUGUGGCCUCUGUGUAAGGCUGCACACCUGUGGCCUGGAGGCAGGGCUCAACACAGCUCACGCGAGCCUGUCCAAUCAGAAUGUGAAAACGGAAACUAGAACUUUGAGUCAGUUGGACAAUGAUGAGCAGCUGCUCUUAAAAGUAGUAUUGGGGGAGGAGGGAAAGGAAGGAAAGGGGUUGGUCAUAGGCUAGAGUGCUCAUAUUUUGAAGACACUUUCAGAUUGUAACUGUUACACUGUUGCAAUUUAUUCAAGACUGCUCCCAUACAUAAUGGACAAAUUAAGUCCUUAUUUGAAACAUCUAUUCCAUCUAGAUAUUUAGAAGUGCCAGAUGCAUGUUAAAUGGGUGUGUGUGUGUUAAUCACUCAGUCAUGUCUGACUCUUUGUGACCUCAUGGACUGUAGCCUGCCAGGCUCCUCUGUCCAUGGAAUUCUCCAGACAAGAAUACUGGAAUGGGUUGCCAUUCUCCAGGGGAUCUUCCUAACACAGGGAUUGAACCUGUGUCUCCUGCGUUGCAGGCAAUUCUUUACUGUCUGAGCCACUAGGGAAGCCCCAGUGUUACGUAGAGGUAGUAAAAUAUCACUUUGUAAUUAUCUUUUUGCUCGGAUUCAUAGGAAGCACUGUCUCUGGGAAAGUUAAAUGUCAGACCUCCUCUGUGAGCGGUGUACUCUUGCCUACACUUGUUCAGUGGUUUGGAGGAAGUGGGAAGAAUUGCAAAACGUCAUAUGGACAUACCUGGACAGUUUCAAACAAAACCAUUUUUUUAUGUUAUGUGCAUUUUGUUUUGCUAAGUAUAUAGUAUGUAUAAUGGACAAAUGAGUCCUAAUUUUGCAACAUCUAGUCUCUAGAUGUUAAAGAGGUUGCCACUGUAUGACAAAGUAGGUAGUAAAAUUAGCAGAUUUUGUACACUUAGUGUUGAAAUUCACAGGAAAGCUUGUCUUCUGUAAAUGACUUUUGGAUAUGAAUUUGUUCAACCACCUCUAAGCAAUACACAUGCCUGAACUUGUCCACUGGAUUGGUGGUGGGGAGAAGGAAGUGAGAGAAGGAAUGGUCGUAUUUAGAAGAUACCUCAGAUUAUAACCUUUGUUACAUGUGUGCGAUUUUAUUUAAUAAAAUGUGUACAUAGCGUACAAGUGGAUAUAGUGGACAAAUAAGCUAUUAUAUGAAAUAUCUGGUCUCUCUAGAUAUUUAGAAGUGCUUGACGCAUUUAAAAAUGCUGUUAAAUAACUUCUUAUAAAAAGCUGUUAAAAACUGAUGGGAAAUACUGUCUUUGGAAAUGGAAUUGUUAAACCUCUGCUCUGAACAGUAUACUCUGUGUUUUUUUGCUGGGUUGAGGGAGGUGGGACGGAAGAUUGCAAAAGAUACUUUGCUAGUGGGUACUAGAUUUCAGCUUACCAUUGCUCUAUAUGUUAAAUGCAUUUCAUUUAACUUUACUGUAUACACUAGGUAUACACUGGACAAAUGGGUCCCAAUUUAAAAAUAUCUAGUUUCUAGAUUGAGGUUGCCAAGGUGUGACAAAAGUAAGGUUAGUAAUCUAACACAUUUUGUACACUUUGUGUUAAAAUUCACUGAAAGGCCAUCUUCUGAAAAGGAC
Bos taurus (domestic cattle) is the source of this 4733-nucleotide long non-coding RNA. The record is from Ensembl. NCBI's taxonomy places the organism in Eukaryota, Metazoa, Chordata, Mammalia, Artiodactyla, Bovidae.